GUGCAAGAUUUCAAAAGUGACUAAUGAGAGAGAAACUGAAAGAAAGCUAGGGACGAGGUACACAAGAAACGCAAGAAGGAAUAGCGGUCCAUCUCAAUAAAAAGAUAAAAGAUUUCUCCAAAGAGUUUAAAGGUGAACAAUGGAGGAAGCUGGGCAGAAAAAAAAGCCUUCACAUUACCUAAGUGGCGAGAGUAUCAAUUGUGCUAAGAGUACUCGAGAGAUUAGAUGGAAUGAGUUUCAUCCUCAAAAAGAUUAAUUUUCUUAAAAACAUUAUUAUCAUUGUCAAUGAGGACAUUGACCUCCUUAAACAGGAAGAGGAUAUAAGAAACUAAAUUAGGCAGCUCUUAUGCUAGUGAAAGCAAUAAGAGCUGAGAGUUGCUCAAUGCUCAAGGAUAAUUUGUAGGGAUGUGACUUAAGGAGAAGUUGAGUGGAUCACCUUCCUCGAUCCAAAAGAGCUUUCGUAUAGCGAUGUGAAAUGAGUC
Molecule: long non-coding RNA, 482 nt
Filed under: Physcomitrium patens
Lineage: Eukaryota; Viridiplantae; Streptophyta; Bryopsida; Funariales; Funariaceae
Description: long non-coding RNA (PPAT_LNC002606)
Source: RNAcentral